Molecule: long non-coding RNA, 580 nt
Filed under: Homo sapiens (human)
Lineage: Eukaryota; Metazoa; Chordata; Mammalia; Primates; Hominidae
Description: HSALNT0342083
Source: RNAcentral
AGAUACCUUCGGGACGGCCCGGACACGCCUUACAUUAGGCUCAUGAUGUGAAACUUUGAAUUCCUUCACUUCCUUUUUCAAACAACCCACCCGAAACCCUCUAGCAGCCCGCAUACCUUUCUCGUUUCCCUAGUCUUCAAACACAUUUCUCACUCGCUAUUCCAGUGAGAAACUUACAUAGAAAGCAGCUUUUGGGGAUGGGGGUCGGUGGCCAAGGGAGGGAAAGUAACGGGAUGCGUCGUGUAAAUAUUUCACGUUGGAAUCACUACUUUUUAUAACAGGACGUAGUUGCGAAUAAAUAAACAUCCUGUGCCUCGUAAUACUUUUUUUUUUUUUUUUUAACAGGGUCUCGCUGUGUUGCCUAGGCUGGAGUACAUUGGCACAAUCAUAGCUCACUGCAGUCUGGACCUCCCGGACUCAAGGGACCCUCCAGCCUCAGCCUCCUGAGUAGCUGGGACCGCAGGCACGUACCGUUACACCUAGCUAAGUGUGUGUAAGUUGUGUGUGUGUCUGUGUGUGUGUGUGUGGAGACCGAGUCUUGCUGUGUUGCCCAGGUUGGUCUCAAACUCCUGGACUCAAG